AUAGUGACUCGCCAUACAUGUAUCUCUUCGGAAUAAUUCCUAUUUAAUACUUGGCUAUACUUACAAGGGGAUUGCCACUUGAUGAAAGCCUUUGCAACACCAAAAAUUUAGCCUUGAAAGAACCCAUUCGAAACAUUCUUGCAGAUGCUGAAGACAUGAAAUCCUAUUAUAUCUCUGAAAGUGUUGUUAUCCCCUCUUCCAUAUUGCUGCAAAGCCUUUUCUACUUGACUUAUAAAUGACUGUGUCUUUAUUAGUACUAAUCAACAUUAAAUUCGUGAUUACAAUGU
Molecule: long non-coding RNA, 287 nt
Organism: Saccostrea echinata
Lineage: Eukaryota; Metazoa; Mollusca; Bivalvia; Ostreida; Ostreidae
Exons: 2
Source: RefSeq, a predicted model, not a curated record